UGAUGUCAGAGCUUGCUCUGGCGGAUCAGUGGCGAACGGGUGAGUAACACGUGAGUAACCUGCCCCCGACUCUGGGAUAACUGCUAGAAAUGGUAGCUAAUACCGGAUAUGACGAUUGGCCGCAUGGUCUGGUCGUGGAAAGAAUUUCGGUUGGGGAUGGACUCGCGGCCUAUCAGGUUGUUGGUGAGGUAAUGGCUCACCAAGCCUACGACGGGUAGCCGGCCUGAGAGGGUGACCGGCCACACUGGGACUGAGACACGGCCCAGACUCCUACGGGAGGCAGCAGUGGGGAAUAUUGCACAAUGGGCGAAAGCCUGAUGCAGCAACGCCGCGUGAGGGAUGACGGCCUUCGGGUUGUAAACCUCUUUUAGUAGGGAAGAAGCGAAAGUGACGGUACCUGCAGAAAAAGCACCGGCUAACUACGUGCCAGCAGCCGCGGUAAUACGUAGGGUGCAAGCGUUGUCCGGAAUUAUUGGGCGUAAAGAGCUCGUAGGCGGUUUGUCGCGUCUGCUGUGAAAUCCCGAGGCUCAACCUCGGGUCUGCAGUGGGUACGGGCAGACUAGAGUGCGGUAGGGGAGAUUGGAAUUCCUGGUGUAGCGGUGGAAUGCGCAGAUAUCAGGAGGAACACCGAUGGCGAAGGCAGAUCUCUGGGCCGUAACUGACGCUGAGGAGCGAAAGCAUGGGGAGCGAACAGGAUUAGAUACCCUGGUAGUCCAUGCCGUAAACGUUGGGAACUAGAUGUGGGGACCAUUCCACGGUCUCCGUGUCGCAGCUAACGCAUUAAGUUCCCCGCCUGGGGAGUACGGCCGCAAGGCUAAAACUCAAAGGAAUUGACGGGGGCCCGCACAAGCGGCGGAGCAUGCGGAUUAAUUCGAUGCAACGCGAAGAACCUUACCAAGGCUUGACAUAUACCGGAAACAUGCAGAAAUGUGUGCCCCGCAAGGUCGGUAUACAGGUGGUGCAUGGUUGUCGUCAGCUCGUGUCGUGAGAUGUUGGGUUAAGUCCCGCAACGAGCGCAACCCUCGUUCUAUGUUGCCAGCACGUAAUGGUGGGAACUCAUAGGAGACUGCCGGGGUCAACUCGGAGGAAGGUGGGGAUGACGUCAAAUCAUCAUGCCCCUUAUGUCUUGGGCUUCACGCAUGCUACAAUGGCCGGUACAAAGGGCUGCGAUACCGUAAGGUGGAGCGAAUCCCAAAAAGCCGGUCUCAGUUCGGAUUGAGGUCUGCAACUCGACCUCAUGAAGUCGGAGUCGCUAGUAAUCGCAGAUCAGCAACGCUGCGGUGAAUACGUUCCCGGGCCUUGUACACACCGCCCGUCAAGUCAUGAAAGUCGGUAACACCCGAAGCCAGUGGCCUAACCGCAAGGGAGGAGCUGUCGAA
RNAcentral lists this ribosomal RNA (1379 nucleotides) under Clavibacter michiganensis subsp. michiganensis. RNAcentral describes it as "bacterial SSU rRNA". It matches the Rfam family "Bacterial small subunit ribosomal RNA". Lineage: Bacteria; Bacillati; Actinomycetota; Actinomycetes; Micrococcales; Microbacteriaceae. The record is from RNAcentral.